This 61-nucleotide transfer RNA is filed under the name Rhipicentor nuttalli. RNAcentral describes it as "tRNA-Asn". Lineage: Eukaryota; Metazoa; Arthropoda; Arachnida; Ixodida; Ixodidae. The record is from RNAcentral.
UUAAUAGAAGCCAAAAAGAGGCAUUUCAUUGUUAAUGAACGAACUGAUUUUCCCUAUUAAA